RNAcentral lists this ribosomal RNA (320 nucleotides) under uncultured eukaryote. RNAcentral's name for it is "partial 18S ribosomal RNA". It matches the Rfam family "Eukaryotic small subunit ribosomal RNA", at positions 1470 to 1796 of the family's 1831-position model. The record is from RNAcentral.
CCCUUAGAUGUUCUGGGCUGCACGCGUGCUACAAUGGCGCUUGCAACAAGUCUUGCCAACCCGAUAGGGUGAGCGGAUCUUUGAAGAGGCGUCGUGAUCGGGACAGUUGAUUGCAAUUAUUCGACUCGAACAAGGAAUUCCUUGUAAUCGCGAUUCAUCAUAUCGCGCUGAAUACGUCCCUGCCCUUUGUACACACCGCCCGUCGCUCCUACCGAUUGAGCGAUCCGGUGAAUGUUUUGGACUGGCGUCAGAAGCGGUUCGCUCCUGACACUACGAAAUUUUGUAAACCUUAUCGCUUAGAGGAAGGAAAAGUCGUAACA